This is a non-coding RNA of Podarcis lilfordi (Lilford's wall lizard), 1059 nucleotides long. NCBI's taxonomy places the organism in Eukaryota, Metazoa, Chordata, Lepidosauria, Squamata, Lacertidae. The record is from the annotation of a GenBank genome assembly.
CUUGCUGUGAUGGGAUGAUGAGCUGCUUGUGCGUAAAAUCGUAUCCCCUCAGAGUUUGUUCAAGUCCACAAACCUCUGUCUGUGACAGAGCCCCUCAGACAUGGCUACUCUAGUCACUAGCAGAUUCCGACAGUGGUUGCUUUCGUAAUCGCUUCCAACAUAAAAGCUCCUUAACGGAAACACGUCUUCUGGAAUCUCUGCGUGACAGUUUCCGGCGAGGAGUGGGUGUUCUUACAGGAGGUCCUGAAACCUCUCCACUGUUUUCGCUGGAAGUGUCUCUGAGCCAUCCCUCCAGCUCAGCUCCUCUCCCCCUGCUGGUUCCCUCAUCAGCUGCUGCGUCUCUCCCAACCUGUGUGAGCCCUUUCACCUCCCUGUUGGUUUCCUCUUCAGCUGCUGCGUCUCUCCCAACCUGUGUGAGCCCUUUCACCUCCCUUCCGUCCGAUGGCAGUUCCCUGACAUCCACCUCCCCUCCAGGGCCCCCUUCACCCCCUCUCGCCCCCUCCUCUACGGGCGGUGAGGAGGCAAAACCCGGAAUGAACUUCCUUCAUCUUCCGAUGUCUCGAACACUUCUCUCAACCUGUUGCGGUUCCUGGUCUCGAAGUACACCUCCUCCUCAGAGUCCAUCUCCCCUUCCCCUUCCGAGUCCGGGAAUCCUUCCAACUCCUCCCCUUCAUCAGUGGUCCCAAAGUAUUCCCUCCGGAACCUCUCCACAGGCUGAGGUUUCCUUGGGAACCUUUGAUGGAACGUUUCUAUCAAUACCUCGUCAUUGAUAUCUUCAGCCAUUACCCAAGUGUUUUCUGACUCCGGUUCUCCUGCCCACGCUCGCAAAUACUCCACCUGAUCCCCCUUCCACCUGGCGUCGAGGAUUUCUGCCACAUGGCUGCUGCAUUCUCUUUCUUCUACGACCGGUCCCCGAGUGGCCAGCCCUUCUCGUCCCCCUUCGUACGGUGACAGUAACGACCUGUGAAAUACUGGGUGCAGUUUCAUGUGGUUGGGUAACCGGGCCUGAAAGCCACUGGGUUGACCUGUUGAAUGACCUCAAAGGGACCCAACCUCCUG